This 73-nucleotide transfer RNA is filed under the name Anaerotruncus sp. X29. RNAcentral describes it as "tRNA-Ala". It matches the Rfam family "tRNA". From Rfam's summary of the family: Transfer RNA (tRNA) molecules are approximately 80 nucleotides in length. Their secondary structure includes four short double-helical elements and three loops (D, anti-codon, and T loops). Further hydrogen bonds mediate the characteristic L-shaped molecular structure. tRNAs have two regions of fundamental functional importance: the anti-codon, which is responsible for specific mRNA codon recognition, and the 3' end, to which the tRNAs corresponding amino acid is attached (by aminoacyl-tRNA synthetases). tRNAs cope with the degeneracy of the genetic code in two manners: having more than one tRNA (with a specific anti-codon) for a particular amino acid; and 'wobble' base-pairing, i.e. permitting non-standard base-pairing at the 3rd anti-codon position. The record is from RNAcentral. Lineage: Bacteria; Bacillati; Bacillota; Clostridia; Eubacteriales; Oscillospiraceae.
GGGGCCUUAGUUCAGUAGGGAGAACGCCUGCUUUGCAAGCAGGAGGUCAGCGGUUCGAUCCCGCUAGGCUCCA